Molecule: unclassified non-coding RNA, 354 nt
Filed under: soil metagenome
Description: partial contains 5.8S ribosomal RNA, internal transcribed spacer 2, and large subunit ribosomal RNA
Rfam family: 5.8S ribosomal RNA (bases 1-120)
Source: RNAcentral
GAUGAAGAACGUAGCGAAAUGCGAUAAGUAAUGUGAAUUGCAGAAUUCAGUGAAUCAUCGAAUCUUUGAACGCACAUUGCGCCCGCCAGUAUUCUGGCGGGCAUGCCUGUUCGAGCGUCAUUACAACCCUCAGGCCCCCGGGCCUGGCGUUGGGGAUCGGCGGAAGCCCCCUGCGGGCACAACGCCGUCCCCCAAAUACAGUGGCGGUCCCGCCGCAGCUUCCAUUGCGUAGUAGCUAACACCUCGCAACUGGAGAGCGGCGCGGCCACGCCGUAAAACACCCAACUUCUGAAAGGUUGACCUCGAAUCAGGUAGGAAUACCCGCUGAACUUAAGCAUAUCAAUAAGCGGAGGA